UACGAAGGGGGCUAGCGUUGUUCGGAGUCACUGGGCGUAAAGGGCGCGUAGGCGGCUGUUCAAGUCGGGGGUGAAAUCCCGUGGCUCAACCACGGAAUGGCCUUCGAUACUGGACGGCUCGAGACCGGAAGAGGUGAGUGGAACUGCGAGUGUAGAGGUGAAAUUCGUAGAUAUUCGCAAGAACACCAGUGGCGAAGGCGGCUCACUGGUCCGGUUCUGACGCUGAGGCGCGAAAGCGUGGGGAGCAAACAGG
This 253-nucleotide ribosomal RNA is filed under the name uncultured bacterium. Its description in RNAcentral is "partial 16S ribosomal RNA". It matches the Rfam family "Bacterial small subunit ribosomal RNA", at positions 524 to 776 of the family's 1533-position model. The record is from RNAcentral.